This 64-nucleotide transfer RNA is filed under the name Rhodobacter capsulatus DE442. Its description in RNAcentral is "tRNA-Ala". It matches the Rfam family "tRNA", at positions 5 to 66 of the family's 71-position model. Rfam says of the family: Transfer RNA (tRNA) molecules are approximately 80 nucleotides in length. RNAcentral also lists the same sequence under 2 other names. Lineage: Bacteria; Pseudomonadati; Pseudomonadota; Alphaproteobacteria; Rhodobacterales. The record is from RNAcentral.
CCUUAGCUCAGCUGGGAGAGCGCCUGAUUUGCAUUCAGGAGGUCAUCGGUUCGAUCCCGAUAGG